This 253-nucleotide ribosomal RNA is filed under the name uncultured prokaryote. Its description in RNAcentral is "partial 16S ribosomal RNA". It matches the Rfam family "Bacterial small subunit ribosomal RNA", at positions 524 to 776 of the family's 1533-position model. The record is from RNAcentral.
UACAGAGGUCCCAAGCGCUGUUCGGAUUUAUUGGGCGUAAAGGGUGCGUAGGCGGCGGAGUAAGUUGGGUGUGAAAUCCCGGGGCUCAACCUCGGAAUUGCAUUCAAUACUGCUUCGCUCGAGUACUGGAGAGGAGACUGGAAUUUACGGUGUAGCAGUGAAAUGCGUAGAUAUCGUAAGGAAGGCCGGUGGCGAAAGCGAGUCUCUGGACAGUUACUGACGCUGAGGAGCGAAAGCGUGGGGAGCGAACAGG